This 524-nucleotide ribosomal RNA is filed under the name uncultured Bacteroidota bacterium. RNAcentral's name for it is "bacterial SSU rRNA". It matches the Rfam family "Bacterial small subunit ribosomal RNA", at positions 64 to 574 of the family's 1533-position model. Lineage: Bacteria; Pseudomonadati; Bacteroidota. The record is from RNAcentral.
AAGGGGCAGCAUAAAUUACUUGCAAUUUGAUGAGCGACGGCGAACGGGUGCGUAACGCGUAUGCAACUUACCUUUUACUAGAGAGUAGCCAAGAGAAAUUUUGAUUAAUGCUCUAUGUUCUUAUUUACUCGCAUGAGUAAAUAAGCAAAGCUCCGGCGGUAAAAGAUGGGCAUGCGUCCUAUUAGCUUGUAGGUGAGGUAAUGGCUCACCUAAGCUCCGAUAGGUAGGGGUCCUGAGAGGGAGAUCCCCCACACUGGUACUGAGACACGGACCAGACUUCUACGGAAGGCAGCAGUAAGGAAUAUUGGACAAUGGAGACAACUCUGAUCCAGCCAUGCCGCGUGAAGGAAGACGGCCUUAUGGGUUGUAAACUUCUUUUAUACAGGAAGAAACCUUUCCACGUGUGGAAAGCUGACGGUACUGUACAGAAUAAGGAUCGGCUAACUCCGUGCCAGCAGCCGCGACUAAUACGUGAGGAUCCAAGCGUUAUCCGGAAUUCAUUGGCGUUCUAAAAGGGUCCGCAG